UACGAAGGGUGCAAGCGUUACUCGGAAUUACUGGGCGUAAAGCGUGCGUAGGUGGUUCGUUAAGUCUGCCGUGAAAGCCCCGGGCUCAACCUGGGAAUGGCGGUGGAUACUGGCGGACUAGAGUGCGGUAGAGGGUGGUGGAAUUCCCGGUGUAGCAGUGAAAUGCGUAGAGAUCGGGAGGAACAUCUGUGGCGAAGGCGGCCACCUGGACCAGCACUGACACUGAGGCACGAAGGCCAGGGGAGCAAACGGG
RNAcentral lists this ribosomal RNA (253 nucleotides) under uncultured bacterium. RNAcentral's name for it is "partial 16S ribosomal RNA". It matches the Rfam family "Bacterial small subunit ribosomal RNA", at positions 524 to 776 of the family's 1533-position model. The record is from RNAcentral.